CGUAGGGUGCGAGCGUUAAUCGGAAUUACUGGGCGUAAAGCGUGCGCAGGCGGUUUAGUAAGACAGGCGUGAAAUCCCCGGGCUCAACCUGGGAACUGCGCUUGUGACUGCUAAGCUAGAGUACGGCAGAGGGGGUGGAAUUCCACGUGUAGCAGUGAAAUGCGUAGAGAUGUGGAGGAACACCAAUGGCGAAGGCAGCCCCCUGGGUCGAUACUGACGCUCAUGCACGAAAGCGUGGGUAGCAAACAGGAUUAGAUACCCUGGUAGUCCGCGCCCUAAACGAUGUCAACUAGGUGUUGGGAGGGUAAAACCUUUUAGUACCGGAGCUAACGCGUGAAGUUGACCGCCUGGGGAGUACGGCCGCAAGGUUA
RNAcentral lists this ribosomal RNA (371 nucleotides) under uncultured organism. RNAcentral's name for it is "bacterial SSU rRNA". It matches the Rfam family "Bacterial small subunit ribosomal RNA", at positions 526 to 896 of the family's 1533-position model. The record is from RNAcentral.